GUCAACCCGUGACAGCGUGCGCUGCCUCUAGCAUGAGGCCGCCGGAAUUCGCUAUCACCGCAUCAAGAGAAGCGCUGCAGUCCCCACAAACGGAGUCCACUACCGCUCCCUGCCAGGAGACACCGGAACAUGGACUGCUGUUGACACGCUCUACAAGGAGAACGGGUCAGUGGAAAAAGAAAUAAGAAAUUCCAUCAUUACGUGAGGUGCUCGACCUUGGAAAUCUCUAAGAUUAUUUGUAUUAGCAAAUGAACAGCGAUCGUUUUCUUGAAAAGGUUAUGUUAAAAGUGUCACAGAGUCAUGGCCAGGAGUGCCCCUGGGCUGCAAGAAUAAUUUAAUCCCAAGCCACACUACUCUGACCUUUGAUUGACACACAGGUCUAGCCGCCGAUGACAGCCCUGCUUGUUUUGCCCAUCCCUGGAUCACCAGUAAGGACUACAGCGCAUGCGCGGUGACUCUUGCAGGCUCACAGACUCUCCUUCUGACAGGGGCCAGCAGCCACAGUGGUAACUACAAGGGAAUAGAGACAGUCUAGUGAUGUCUCCUCUUUUUACUUAACUAGUGGAAAUUUAGACGCAAAGGGGUAAAUACCGAAUAUCCCCUGCUGGCAACAGUUGCAAUUUAAAGAACUGGCUUUUGGGAAAUUGGGAGAACUGGCCAAACCCAGAACUGGGGGUUUUCAUAGAUAACCAAAGUCAGAGUGGCCAACCGAUUCUGGCAGCGGGAUGCCUCCUCCCCUCCAUAACCCCCUCUCAGCAUGGAGCCCUGUAUGUCAAUAAUGUGGAACCAGCUAGAAUUACAAAAUGCCUAUAAGCUCUUACUAGAGACAGAAUUCUCCUAUCAACAGGCAGUUGACAGCAAACUGCAGGGAAGGGAGACACCUAGUGGCCAAAAGCUGUAUUUUUUUGGAAGGUUCUAUUACCAAGGAUCAGUUACCGUUCUUUUUGCUUUGUAAUGAUCGCAGGAUGUGCCUUGUGUGUUUUGUUCUGUAUUUUGCUGGCUCAUAUAAAUAACAAUGGGAUUAACCACAUGAGGAUGUCGAAUAAAAACAAAUUCACAGCGAAAGUGGAACUCGAUACUUGGAAGGCUCAGCGGUCCAUAUGUUGUGAGGCAAACUUCCAGCAACCCUGCUGUAUUCCAGUAAUUUACUGCAGAUGAACUUCUUUCCCUAUAACUCAGCUAGAUUUUCACGCUUACAUUGUGCUGAUCCACAAUUUUAUAUCUCUAUUGCUGCCCAUCUGUGCCCCCAUGCAUUAAACCGCUUUGUGUGACUGUGAAGUCAUUGUCGCCCUGUCUUUUGACUUGGAAAUUCUAUAUUUCACUGGUUGAAAAUGAUAUAAUUCUUGAUAUUGUAUUGUUUGAAAUUGCAAUAAAAGCAAACAUAUUGUACGUAAAAGACAAGGCAGGACUCUGCAAGUGCUAAGAUAUAUGUAAACAACCAUUAAAUGGAUUAUUCUGAAUCACAUUACAGCUAUAUUAACUACG
This is a long non-coding RNA of Hyla sarda, 1485 nucleotides long. RefSeq lists it as uncharacterized. The transcript has 6 exons. The record is from RefSeq and is a predicted model, not a curated record. Lineage: Eukaryota; Metazoa; Chordata; Amphibia; Anura; Hylidae.